AGCCUGGGUCUUCAGUUUUCUCC
RNAcentral lists this microRNA (23 nucleotides) under Petromyzon marinus (sea lamprey). Its description in RNAcentral is "pma-miR-146-3p". Its record names the gene pma-miR-146-3p. The record is from miRBase by way of RNAcentral. Lineage: Eukaryota; Metazoa; Chordata; Hyperoartia; Petromyzontiformes; Petromyzontidae.